UAGGGAAUCUUCGGCAAUGGGGGGAACCCUGACCGAGCAACGCCGCGUGAACGAAGAAGGUAUUCGUAUCGUAAAGUUCUGUCCUAUGGGAAGAUAAUGACAGUACCAUAGAAGAAAGCUCCGGCUAAAUACGUGCCAGCAGCCGCGGUAAUACGUAUGGAGCGAGCGUUGUCCGGAAUUAUUGGGCGUAAAGGGUACGCAGGCGGUUUAAUAAGUCGAAUGUUAAAGAUCGGGGCUCAACCCCGUAAAGCAUUGGAAACUGAUAAACUUGAGUAGUGGAGAGGAAAGUGGAAUUCCUAGUGUAGUGGUGAAAUACGUAGAUAUUAGGAGGAAUACCAGUAGCGAAGGCGACUUUCUGGACACAAACUGACGCUGAGGUACGAAAGCGUGGGGAGCAAACAGG
This 403-nucleotide ribosomal RNA is filed under the name Bacteroidota bacterium. RNAcentral describes it as "Bacteroidetes bacterium partial 16S ribosomal RNA". It matches the Rfam family "Bacterial small subunit ribosomal RNA", at positions 355 to 776 of the family's 1533-position model. The record is from RNAcentral. Lineage: Bacteria; Pseudomonadati; Bacteroidota.